Non-coding RNA from Phascolarctos cinereus (koala), 3752 nucleotides. Lineage: Eukaryota; Metazoa; Chordata; Mammalia; Diprotodontia; Phascolarctidae. The record is from RefSeq and is a predicted model, not a curated record.
GUUGCCCGGGUGACGGCAGAGCGGCCUGGCCUGGUUCAGAGCGCCCCGUGAUCCGCGGCCCCCGGCGUCCUGGCAUCCCCAGCGCGCUCCCGACCACUGCGGGCCGGAGGAGCCGCCUCAGGUGCAGAGACUGCUUCAUUUUUGUCUUUUUGCGCUCAGGGCCUGGUAUUUCUGUUCUGAGAUCGUUAGUGGGUGUUCAGAAUGGGAGAUAUUCUAGCCUCUGAAGCUGAAUUGCUUGGACUGGUGAAAGAGUAUUUAGACUUUGCUGAAUUUGAAGACACUGUGAAGAUAUUUUUAAAGGAGUGCAGAAGUAAAGGGAAGCCAUUGUGCAAAACCCCGUCUGGCUCUUUGAGAGACUCAAAAACGCUGAUUAUCCAGAAAGAUCUAAUUACCGCAUUUGAUAAUGGGGACCAGAAAGGCUUCUUUGACUUAUGGGAGGAGCACAUCCCAACCUCUGUCCGAGAAGGAGAGACUGUGGCCCAGAAGCUGGAGUUCUGUCUCCACAUCCACUUUGCCAUCUUCCCGCUGAAGCGCAUCUCUGGAAAACCGGACAAAGCGGAAUUUGAUGAAAGGAUUUCUUACUUCAAAGCCUACCUGGAGACCAGAGGAGCAGCACUGAGCCAGACCACGGAGUUUCUUCCAUUUUAUGCCCUUCCCUUUGUUCCCAACCCCACGGUGCAUCCUUCCUUUAAGGAACUCUUCCAGGAUUCCUGGACUCCAGAGUUAAAGAUGAGGUUGGAAACAUUCCUGUCGUCCACUCUCAAAGCCAGUAAUACCCCACGGCUUUUUACUCUCUAUAAGGAGAAUGGGCAGAGCAGCAAAGAAAUGCUGCAGCAGCUGCACCAGCAGCUGGUGGAAGCUGAGCGAAGGACGAUGAUCUACCUUAGGCGUCACAACAGAAUCCAAGCUGACUACCACAACCUCAUCGGGGUCACGGCCGAGUUAGUGGAUUCUCUGGAGGCCACCGUGAGCGGCAAGAUGAUCACGCCAGAGUAUCUGCAGAGCGUUUGCGUCCGUCUCUGCAGCAACCAAAUGAGGCAAAGCUUAGCCCACAGCAUUGACUUCACAAGACCAGGAACGGCUUCCACCAUGUUAAGAGCCUCCUUGGCACCUGUGAAGCUGAAGGAAAUCCCACUGCUGCCCUCCCUGGAUUAUGAGAAACUGAAGAAAGAUCUGACCUUUGGGAAUGACCGAUUGAAGGCCUUUUUGCUGCAGGCUCUGCGAUGGCGUCUGACCACGUCUCAUCCUGGAGAACAAAGAGAGACCGUGCUGCAGGCCUACAUCACCAACGACCUGCUGGACUGUCAGAGCAGCAGCCAGAGAAACGUGCUCCAGCUUCUGCAUUCCACGAAUGACGUGGUCCGACAGUACAUGGCCCGGCUCAUCAAUGCCUUUGCAUCCCUCUCCGAAGGUCGCCUCUACCUCUCCCAGAACUCCAAGCUACUGAGGAUGCUGGAGGAGAGACUGAAAGAGGAAGACAAGGACCCGCUCACCCGGGAGAAUGUGCUGGGGGCCUUGCAGAAAUUCAGCCUCAGGCGUGCACUGCAGUCCGCCAUGAUCCAGGAUGGCCUCAUCUUCUGGCUCAUCGAAGUGCUCAAAGAUCCCGACUGCCUGUCCGACUACACUCUCGAGUACUCCGUCGCCUUGCUCAUGAACCUCUGCCUCCGCAGCGCAGGUAAGAACAUGUGUGCUAAGGUGGCUGGCCUCGUGCUCAAAGUCCUGUCGGAUCUGCUUGGCCACGAGAACCACGAGAUACAGCCGUAUGUGAAUGGCGCCUUGUACAGCAUUCUUUCCAUACCGUCCAUUCGGGAGGAAGCAAGAGCCAUGGGAAUGGAAGAAAUCCUUCGAUGUUUCAUCAAGGAAGGCAAUGCUGAAAUGAUACGCCAGAUUGACUUUAUUAUCAAGCAACUUAAUUCAGAAGAGCUGCUGGACACGACUCUUGAGUCUGAUGAUGAAGAGGAGGAAGAUGAUGAAGAGGACCAGGACACCAUGGAGUCUGAUCUGGACAAGGAUGAAGUGAUACAGCCCCAGCUUGGGGAGCUCUCCGGGGAAAAGCUGCUGACCUCCGAGUAUCUGGGAAUAAUGACCAACUCAGGCAAAGCCAGGAGGAGGCCCCCUCCCAGCGGCAUGCAGCAGAGUGUCGACGAGCCCUUGCAGAGGCCUGUCACCCCUGGGUAUCAUAAGAAUGUGCACCCCACGCUAGAAAAUGAUUUCAUUUCGCCGUGUGCAGCCCGCCCCAUUCGAGGCAGCCCGCCCCAGGCCCAGCCAGGCCCUCGGCCCCCUACCCGCAGUGGAACCCGGUCCAGCACGUCUUUUACAUCCUUCAGCUCGGACCCCUACCAGCAUGAAGGCCCGCACGUCCUUUCGGCCGAUGAGCCCGGCCAGGCCCUGGAGUCGGCCCAAGGCCAAGCAGAGAGACAGCCCAGCAGAGAGUUCACCGCAGCCUUCGCCAGCAAGCCUCGGCUCCCUCGCACCCCCGAGAUACGAGGCCUGAGUCUUCGGAAGACCGAGGCGCCAGCCAUCGCCCCCCAGUUCUCUCACUCGGGGCCCCAGCAGACCGGCCGUCCCAGCUCCACAGGCUGCUCCAUGAGAAGCAGACAAAACUUUUACUAAAUUCCCGUUGUGUGCAGAGAGCCAGGCCACCUAGCAUUGUGAUAAACACAGCCAUUUCCCCCAGGAGCUUCUAGUCUGGAAGGGCCUCAGUCGGUACCUAAUAAGUGUUUGUGCAACGAAUCCCGUCUUAGAAGGCAUUUCUUUUUUUGCUGCCAGGCCUACAGGAAGUGAAGACUGGUCCUGUCCUCAGGCAUCGAUCGGUGAGACUAGCCAGCUUCCUGGACAGGUGGCGGCUGCCGUCAUCUCAUGUGGAGCAGGCGCCUCGUGGCCUCUCCCUGGCCUUUGUGGGGACUCAGAGUCAGAGGCCUCCGAGCAGUGCCAGCCCCCCACCCCAGCGCGCGCGCACACGCAAUAGAACCGGCUCUUGAUUCAUGGUUACUCCCAUCAGGGCCUCUGGGCCCACAAUGCUGAGACCAUCCCCCACCAAGGGGCUUCCUGGGGAAGGCUGCAGCCCAGGGCUGACUCCUGGGCCUGGGGUCCGGCUGCUUUUCCCACGAGGCCACAGCUGCCCCGAGACCAUCCCUGUCAGGCUGUGGACACUGCCGACUCCAGCUUCCCAGGCUUAGCUAUGGAGAUUUCUUAAAGACUUCCCUCUUACCUUUGAUCAGCCAUAGAAUGUGGCCGGGAGGGCACUCACUAUGGCACCCACCAUGGCCACAGCAGUGGGAGCAAGUGGAAAAUAAAAUGAUCCCAGAGGACAGAUGGUAGACAAGACCCCUCCUGUAGCAGAGAGGCGGGGAAGGGCUCCUGGGGCAGAGGGCUGGCUCCAGCGUCCAGGGCCUACCUUGUUUGCCUUUAUCACGAGGGAGGGCGCAGUGGGGGGAGGGCACGUCCCAAAAUGACUGAUGGAAAACCCAAGGGCGCUAAUGAAGUUGAUUUGAAAAGGAAAGAGGGAGGAAUUCUUCACUCCUUCAUCAUUUGUGAAGUGUCUCAGAACUCCCCCAUGAGCCAGUGGAAGCCGCUCCAUCUCCCCACUUAAAAGGAUAAUUCCUGCAAAGCCCAUUGUGAACCUUAAAGGGCUAAGUAAGUGGGAGCUGGGCUGAGUUCGAUUUUCUCCAUGGUGCAUGUGUCCAGCAGCAAACCGGAACCCGAAUGUCACCCGUCCUUCCAUUUCCCACCAUUAAAAACAGUAGACCUUG